ACUCACGGUAUUUAUUUAUACAUACACUUUAAAAAUCACGUAUUCUAACACUUUGCUGUUUCCUUCCAAAGUUUUGAAUAGAAUUCAGUUGCUCCAAGACACACAUUCAUUUACAUGUGGGUUUUUUUUCUUUACUAAAAUACAUUUACUUUUAGUAUUCUCAAGUGCAAAAGAGAGUUGAAUCUUCUAUUGCAUAUGAAAUGGAGACUAGUCUUCCACAAAGAGUAAAAUGAAGUUUUGUAAUGGCCAUCAUCUGUAAUUGCUUACAAUGACAGCAUAAACUCUAGGAUUUUGUUUUAACUUCAUGGCUACAUGGGUAAAGUUAGGUUUGAAAAUCAUUUCAAAAACAAAAUUUAUCAAACAAAAAACCUGGACAGGUUUUUAUUUUUUAUUUUUUUGAGAUGGAGUUUUGCUCUGUUGCCCAGGCUGAGGCAGGAGAAUUACUUGAACCUGGGAAGCAGAGGUUGCAGUGAGCCAAGAUUGUGCCACUGCACUCCAACCUGGUGACAGAGUGAGACUCCAUCAAAAAAAAAAAAAAAAAAAAAAAAAAAAGAGAAAAAAGAGAUAGAAUUUUGGAAACCCAGAGAGGCCAUAACAGGGAAAAGAAAAAGCAGGCCAGGUGCGGUGGCUCACACUUGUAAUCCUAGCACUUUGGGAGGCCAAGGUGGGUAGACUGCCUGAGCUCAGGAGUUCGAGACCAGCCUGGGCAACAACAGUGAAACCCCAUCUCUACUAAAAUACAAAAAAUUAGCUGGUCAUGGCAGCGUGUGCCUGUAAUCCCAGCUACUCAGGAGGCUGAGACAGGAGAAUCACUUGAACCCGGGAGGUGGAGGUUGCAGUGAGCCGAGAUUGUGCCACUGUACUCCAGCCUGGGCAACAGAGCGAGACUCCAUCUCAAAAAAAAGAAAAAGAAGAAAAAGAAGAAACCGGGUUUCUCAACUCCAUGUCCUGUGCUUUUCUGACUCUGCAAGAGCCAAGAGGUGUCUUCCUAGGAUGGUCACAGGGAGGUAAUUCCCCCAGCAUGGAGGGUCUGAGUCAAGGGUAAGCUCUGUGCAAGGUGUAUGGCGGGGCGGGAGAAGGUUACCUUGCCCAUAACCUUGCUGCUUACUCCGGUGAGAAAAGAGAAGCAAUCAGAAGAGCAUGUCCACCUGCUCCCCUCACUGCCUCUGCCUACCCACCCGCCUACCUAUCUACAUUUGCCAAGUACUCCGCCAGCCCUCUCCCUAUGAUCUGCCGUGUUUCUGUAGGCCUGAGCUCUACAUAUGCACUACAUCCCAUUCCCUUUGGCUAGCCGUAGUUUAAAAGUAUGUCCACAAAUUCCUUCUGAAGUUGCCAAAUCUAACAAAUAAAAAUACAGGUCAUACAUUAACUUUGAGUUUCAGAUAAAGUCAUUAUUUAGUGUAAGAAUUCCCUAUGCAAUAUUUGGAAUACACCUAUACUAAUAAGCCUUUGUUUAUCUUUAUUUGGAUGUCUGGCCACCCUACUUUGUACUUAGUGACUCCCUUCUAACAAAUCAGAGUAAGGGAUGACAUGCAACUUCUAAUACUAGGUCACAAAAGACACUGUGGUUCCCAUCUUAGUCUCUUGCUCUCUUGGAUGGCUUGCUCUGGGGGAAGUCAGCCAUGCUGUGAGGACAUUCAAGCAGCCCUGUGGAGAGGCCAUGUGGCAAGGAACAAUGGCCGCCUGCCAAAAGCCAUGUGUGGAAGCUUGGAAGAGGGUUCUUCUAGCCCCGGACAAGCUUUUAGAUGACUGUACCCUCAGGAGGAACUUGGACAGAAUCACCCUGCUAAGCUGGAUUCCUGAUCGACUGAAACUGUGAGCUAACUUGCUUUUAAUUUUUAAACCUCUAAGUAGUGGGUAGUUUGUUAUGCAGCGACAGAGCACCACCACACGGACUUCCUGACAUCACUCCAGGAGCUGCCCUCUGUCUGGCAUCAUCGCUUUCAGUCUUUCCUGAUCAUUCCCAGGGGCACACAGACAGGCUAUAAUAUCUACCCUCUUAAAGAAAGCUCUCUCUUGAUCUCAGAUGUCCUAUUUUCUGUUCCCCUGUAUCAGCUGUUGUGCAUAAUCGCUAUUUCUGAUUCCUUUUCCCCAUUCUCUCCUCAACUAUUCCAAUUAGGCUUUUCAGCAUUCCCAGCCCCUCUCAAACAGCUGCAGUCAAAACAUUUAAUACCCCUCUUGUAUUAAAGCCAGAGUUCAAUCUUCAGGCUUCAUCAAACUUGACCUAAUUAUUCAUCUAAUAAAUAUUGAUAAGUAGCUACGAGGUGCCAGACAUUGUUCUAGAUGCUGGAUACACAGCAAUGAGCAAAACGCAUCCAAACCCACAUCCCUACCCUUACUAGGCUGCUAUGGAAGGGAGUGGGGCUGGCGAAUCAACCAUAAACAAGUAAGCCACUAUGAAGAUUUAUGAAUGAAACAAUAGGACGUCUGGGGAUCAAAUAUUUCAAAAUAAUGGGACAAUGGGUAGAAGUGAGGAUGAAACAGGGUCAGCUACUGUUGACUACUGAAGCAGGUGCUGGGAAUAUGGAAGCACAUUAAAUUUGUCUCUACUUUGGUAUAUGUUAGACAUUGUCCAUAGUAGUCUUUUUAAAAAGCACAUUGCAUAUCAUCUCAUCUGCAAUCCAGGAGAUGGGGUGUGACAAUCUAAAUAGCGUGGUCAUGACCUCAUGGGGUGGGUGAGAGAGUGACAGGAGAUGGCUGGGGAAGAGCAUUCCAUGCAGAGGGAAUCACAACUACAAAGGCCUUGGCUUAAGAGAAUGCCUGAGUGUUCUAGAAAUGACAGGGAGGCCAGCAUGCAGAGGACGAGCGGACGGAGGGGAGAGCACUGGACAGGCCAGCCGGGGCCACGUGGUGCCUUGUGGGCUGCUAUGGGGACAUGGACUGUUACUCUGAGUAAGAACAUGAACCACAGGGUGUUUC
RNAcentral lists this long non-coding RNA (2919 nucleotides) under Homo sapiens (human). Its description in RNAcentral is "non-protein coding lnc-HPCAL1-2:1". The record is from RNAcentral. Lineage: Eukaryota; Metazoa; Chordata; Mammalia; Primates; Hominidae.